This 191-nucleotide microRNA precursor is filed under the name Oryza glumipatula. Its description in RNAcentral is "MIR812 microRNA precursor family". It matches the Rfam family "MIR812 microRNA precursor family". The record is from Rfam by way of RNAcentral. Lineage: Eukaryota; Viridiplantae; Streptophyta; Magnoliopsida; Poales; Poaceae.
GUAAAAAAAAAAACUAGGUUUUCGUGUCCAACGUUUGACUGUCCAUCUUAUAUGAAAUUUUUUUAUAAUUAGUAUUUUCAUCGUUGUUAGAUGAUAAAACAUAAUUAAUACUUUAUACGUGACUUAUCUUCUUAAUUUUUUUUAUAAUUUUUUUUAAAUAUAACGGACGGUUAGAAACCUAGGGUUUAUGG